Molecule: ribosomal RNA, 924 nt
Filed under: uncultured Ascomycota
Lineage: Eukaryota; Fungi; Ascomycota
Description: eukaryotic LSU rRNA
Rfam family: Eukaryotic large subunit ribosomal RNA
Source: RNAcentral
CGUUUGACCUCGGAUCAGGUAGGGAUACCCGCUGAACUUAAGCAUAUCAAUAAGCGGAGGGAAAGAAACCAACAGGGAUUGCCCUAGUAACGGCGAGUGAAGCGGCAACAGCUCAAAUUUGAAAUCUGGCUCUUUUAGAGUCCGAGUUGUAAUUUGCAGAGGGCGCUUUGGCUUUGGCAGCGGUCCAAGUUCCUUGGAACAGGACGUCACAGAGGGUGAGAAUCCCGUACGUGGUCGCUAGCUAUUGCCGUGUAAAGCCCCUUCGACGAGUCGAGUUGUUUGGGAAUGCAGCUCUAAAUGGGAGGUAAAUUUCUUCUAAAGCUAAAUAUUGGCCAGAGACCGAUAGCGCACAAGUAGAGUGAUCGAAAGAUGAAAAGCACUUUGGAAAGAGAGUCAAACAGCACGUGAAAUUGUUGAAGGGGAAGCGCUUGCAGCCAGACCUGCUUGCAGUUGCUCAUCCGGGCUUUUGCCCGGUGCACUCUUCUGCAGGCAGGCCAGCAUCAGUUUGGGCGGUGGGAUAAAGGUCUCUGACACGUUCCUUCCUUCGGGUUGGCCAUAUAGGGGAGACGUCAUACCACCAGCCUGGACUGAGGUCCGCGCAUCUGCUAGGAUGCUGGCGUAAUGGCUGUAAGCGGCCCGUCUUGAAACACGGACCAAGGAGUCUAACAUCUAUGCGAGUGUUUGGGUGUCAAGCCCGAGCGCGUAAUGAAAGUGAACGGAGGUGGGAACCCGCAAGGGUGCACCAUCGACCGAUCCUGAAGUUUACGGAAGGAUUUGAGUAAGAGCAUGGCUGUUGGGACCCGAAAGAUGGUGAACUAUGCUUGAAUAGGGUGAAGCCAGAGGAAACUCUGGUGGAGGCUCGCAGCGGUUCUGACGAGCAAAUCGAUCGUCAAAUUUGGGCAUAGGGGCGAAAGACUAAUCGAA